Molecule: ribosomal RNA, 297 nt
Filed under: uncultured eukaryote
Lineage: Eukaryota
Description: partial 18S ribosomal RNA
Rfam family: Eukaryotic small subunit ribosomal RNA
Source: RNAcentral
CCCUUAGACGCUCUAGGCGGCACGCGCGCUACAGUGGGUGGUAGAACGUGUAACUGCUCCCGAAAGGGAGGGUGAACCACGAAUACUUACCCGUGAAUGGGAUAGUUUGUUGCAAUUUUCGGACUUGAACUAGGAAUCCCUUGUAAGAAUGCUCAAGAAUAGCGUGCUGAAUACGUCCCUGCCGUUUGUACACACCGCCCGUCGUUUCUUCCGACUGAUACUCAUUGUGAGUUGCAAGGAUUCUUAUUGAAAAAUUGCUGCGAAUGCUUUGUAUUGGAGGAAGAAAAAGUCGUAACA